Molecule: long non-coding RNA, 850 nt
Organism: Erinaceus europaeus (western European hedgehog)
Lineage: Eukaryota; Metazoa; Chordata; Mammalia; Eulipotyphla; Erinaceidae
Exons: 4
Source: RefSeq, a predicted model, not a curated record
CAUUAGUGCCCAUCCAUACCUGUGCCAGGACAGUGCUGUCAGCAAGAAAGAUGACUGAGGAGAAGAGCUACCCUCUGCUACCUUGACAGAUGCUGACCCUUCACCUUCACCUCAGGAUGAGAGUCCCUGGUGGCCAUGCAGAUCAACCAACGGCCUAUCUAUCCUCAAGAAUAGAUGCAAAGUAGGCCUCAUCCUUAGUGAGUCUCCUCUAUCUGCCAGAACAUGCGAGCGGCCGUGCAGACGUGCAGUGCAGUGUGGUCAUCAAGCUGGAACUGAUUCACUUCAAGCCCUGAGACUGGUACCUGGUGAUUAGCCCAUGGUUGUGAUAUGGUAACUACCAUCAGCUAUGAUGGCAGAUGCAUUCUGUAGUCUGCCUUACCGAAACUCAAGCACACUGAAGUCUUCAUCCUUAGGUUGAGAAUAACAAUAGCGGAGCCACUGUAACCUGAGGGGAAGAUACAAGUAUGAACAAGUUUUGACUCUGACACAAAAUCAUGGUCAGUGUCAUCAGAAGAGAUCAUUUUUAAACUGAAGGUAUCAGAAGGAGUCACGAACUCUGUAUUAUCUCUAACAACAGAAGAACUUGGACUGAAAGUUGAAAGCCCUGCUUUCUCGCCUGUAAAGAAGGAAGCCCUCAAAACGCAAGUCUUCUGUACAGAAUGAAAGGACUGGUUUCUGUGCCUGUGGAGUCCAACCACCUCUGGACUCCUUGUUUAGAUGCCUGUGAAGACGGUUUGUCUGAGCCGCCCUUUCCGACAGCCUCUGCGUGCAAGAAGUGCUUCUGCAGGGGCAGGAACAGAGCCCAGCAAUCAAAGGCAGCUCUUCUAAAUCGACAAAAGCCUGCCUCUCU